UUGCAAAUAUGUCGAUAAAAAAAUUAUUAAUGUUUAAACAUGAUAUAAAAUUAACAAGAAAUCACUCUUUUCAAAACAACUUCACACGUCGACAUAACCUUACUAAUGUAAAUCUCCAAUUACUAUUAAAUACGGAUUAAAACAGAAGAAAAAUAAUAACCGUACCUUAAAAAUCUAGGAAAAACCACCAUAGGAAACCGAGCGGUACACAGCCAAACAAACAACACCAGCCGUUGAUGAAAUGUCCAGAUUAAAUUAUUGAAAUUCCAUCCAGCCUUGUUACUCCACG
Molecule: long non-coding RNA, 289 nt
Organism: Chrysoperla carnea
Lineage: Eukaryota; Metazoa; Arthropoda; Insecta; Neuroptera; Chrysopidae
Exons: 3
Source: RefSeq, a predicted model, not a curated record